UAACGUCUCCUAAGCCGAACUUGAUGG
Molecule: non-coding RNA, 27 nt
Filed under: Callithrix jacchus (white-tufted-ear marmoset)
Lineage: Eukaryota; Metazoa; Chordata; Mammalia; Primates; Cebidae
Also listed under: 1 other name
Source: RNAcentral